UUACUGGUUUUCCUGUAGACAAUAUUGCAAAGUUUCAACUGAGACCAGACUAAAAAAAAAAAUCAGACAAAUAUUAGUAACAGUGUGAUGGGGUGGACUAGGUCCUGAGGCCCCCUGCUGGAGGCCUUGUGGCCCUACCACACCUCACCCCAAAAAAGGGCAGUGGAGAGGGUCCUCCCAGCUGCCUAGAGUGGCUGUAUGGGAGGCAGCCAAGCAGGGCCCAGCAGGCUAGUAUAAGAAGAGCUGCAGGGCCAGACUAAGAGCAGUUCCUUGCUUGAGCUGGAGGAGAGUGGAUGGUUCUCUGAACUGGCUGCUGGGAGUCCACCAGGACAAGGCCCAGAGACAGACUGUGUAUGACUCGGCCAGAGGGCUGAGUCACCGAAGACCCACCACAAACAGAGAGAGAGAGAAUGCAGGCACACACACUUGGCCGGGGGUGCUUGUGAAAGGCAAUGAACCAUGGCAGCUGAACUGGAGGUGUCACAGCCAGUUAUGUUAGUGACUAUCUGCAAUUAUUUACAAAUAAAAAAAAUUAGAACUUUUAAAAUCUUUUAGGUUCUAGGGAUAUUACGUUAAAUAGUAAAAACAAGAAAGUGUUACAAGGAAUAGAAAAUGGAAUUUGUGAAGCUAACAUAGCACACACACUUACAAGUCCAUCUUUAAUGAGCACCAAUUUUUCCAUAACAUGCACCUGAAGUCGUAGAGUGGGAUUGUCAAAACUGCUCAUUGUUAGCCUAAUUGAUUUAGUCCUAUGCCAGAUGCUUUUUGAAAAAUCUCACCCAUAACAUAGAAUACUAGCUGAAUAUGCUUACAAAUCAACUUGGUAGGUCUGGAAUCUAAACAAGAGACCAAAUGAUAAGUGUAAAAAACAUGUUGUUUUAAAUGGACAUUUAUAAACCUCACAAGAAAUGAACAAAGCUAAGCCCAGCACUCUAGUUUCACAUAACUGAUCAUCUUGUCUGAUCAUUGGCAUGAGUUUAGAAUAAAGUACCCUGCAUCUCUUUCUGAACUGCU
Molecule: long non-coding RNA, 1014 nt
Organism: Dermochelys coriacea (leatherback sea turtle)
Lineage: Eukaryota; Metazoa; Chordata; Testudines; Dermochelyidae
Exons: 3
Source: RefSeq, a predicted model, not a curated record